AGGAGGUCAAGAAAGUGAGGCAAGUGAAGACCAUGUUGCCUUCACUGAUGCUCACCUCCCAGAGCAAACAGCAGAGAGAACAUCCUUGGUCUCCACAGAAAGAGUCAAGGAUGACUGUGUCUGCUUACACUCU
Small nucleolar RNA from Nerophis lumbriciformis (worm pipefish), 133 nucleotides. RefSeq annotates it as small nucleolar RNA SNORA47. NCBI's taxonomy places the organism in Eukaryota, Metazoa, Chordata, Actinopteri, Syngnathiformes, Syngnathidae. The record is from RefSeq and is a predicted model, not a curated record.